AUGAACGCUGGCGGCGUGCUUAACACAUGCAAGUCGAACGGAAAGGCUCCUGCUUGCAGGGGUACUCGAGUGGCGAACGGGUGAGUAACACGUGGGUGAUCUGCCCUGCACUUCGGGAUAAGCCUGGGAAACUGGGUCUAAUACCGGAUAGGACCACAUUUUGGAUGGUGUGGUGGAAAGUUUUUCGGUGUGGGAUGAGCUCGCGGCCUAUCAGCUUGUUGGUGGGGUAAUGGCCUACCAAGGCGUCGACGGGUAGCCGGCCUGAGAGGGUGUACGGCCACAUUGGGACUGAGAUACGGCCCAGACUCCUACGGGAGGCAGCAGUGGGGAAUAUUGCACAAUGGGCGCAAGCCUGAUGCAGCGACGCCGCGUGGGGGAUGACGGCCUUCGGGUUGUAAACUCCUUUCGCUAGGGACGAAGCGUUUUUGUGACGGUACCUGGAGAAGAAGCACCGGCUGACUACGUG
Molecule: ribosomal RNA, 466 nt
Filed under: uncultured bacterium
Lineage: Bacteria
Description: partial 16S ribosomal RNA
Rfam family: Bacterial small subunit ribosomal RNA
Source: RNAcentral